RNAcentral lists this ribosomal RNA (1519 nucleotides) under metagenome. Its description in RNAcentral is "bacterial SSU rRNA". It matches the Rfam family "Bacterial small subunit ribosomal RNA". The record is from RNAcentral.
AGAGUUUGAUCCUGGCUCAGAAUGAACGCUGGCGGCGUGCUUAACACAUGCAAGUCGAACGAGAAAGUAUCUGCUUGCAGAUACGAGUAGAGUGGCGCACGGGUGAGUAACGCGUGGAUAAUCUACCUCCGGAUUUGGGAUAACAUUGCGAAAGCGGUGCUAAUACCGGAUAAGAUCGAGACAUUUGCGGAUGUUUCGAUGAAAGACAGCCAAUCCUUGGAAGCUAUUGUCUGGAGAUGAGUCCGCGUACCAUUAGUUAGUUGGUGGGGUAAUGGCCUACCAAGACGACGAUGGUUAGCUGGUCUGAGAGGAUGAUCAGCCACACUGGAACUGACACACGGUCCAGACUCCUACGGGAGGCAGCAGUGAGGAAUUUUGCGCAAUGGGGUAACCCCUGACGCAGCAACGCCGCGUGAGUGAUGAAGGCUUUUGGGUCGUAAAGCUCUGUCAAUGGGAAAGAAGUUAUUUUUGGUUAAUAGCCGGAGAUAUUGACGGUACCCAUGAAGGAAGCACCGGCUAACUCCGUGCCAGCAGCCGCGGUAAUACGGGGGGUGCAAGCGUUAUUCGGAAUUAUUGGGCGUAAAGGGCGCGUAGGCUGUGUAAUAGGUCAGAUGUGAAAGUUCAGGGCUUAACUCUGAAAGAGCAUUUGAAACCAUUGUACUUGAGUAUGGGAGAGGGAAGUGGAAUUCCUGGUGUAGAGGUGAAACUCGUAGAUAUCAGGAGGAACACCGGUGGCGAAGGCGACUUCCUGGACCAAUACUGACGCUGAGGCGCGAAGGCGUGGGUAGCGAACAGGAUUAGAUACCCUGGUAGUCCACGCAGUAAACGUUGAUCACUAGGUGUAGCGGGUAUUGACCCCUGCUGUGCCGGAGCAAACGCAAUAAGUGAUCCGCCUGGGGAGUACGAUCGCAAGAUUAAAACUCAAAGGAAUUGACGGGGGCCCGCACAAGCGGUGGAGCAUGUGGUUUAAUUCGACGCAACGCGAAGAACCUUACCUGGAUUUGGCAUCUUGGGAAUAUCUUAGAAAUUUGAUAGUGCCUUUCGGGGAGCCCAAAGACAGGUGCUGCAUGGCUGUCGUCAGCUCGUGUCGUGAGAUGUUGGGUUAAGUCCCGCAACGAGCGCAACCCUUAUCUUUAGUUACCAUCAUUUAGUUGGGGACUCUAGAGAUACUGCCCCGGUUAACGGGGAGGAAGGUGGGGAUGACGUCAAGUCCUCAUGGCCUUUAUAUCCAGGGCUACACACGUGCUACAAUGGUAUGUACAAAGAGUUGCGAAGCCGCGAGGUCAAGCUAAUCUCAUAAAGCAUAUCUUAGUUCGGAUUGGAGUCUGCAACUCGACUCCAUGAAGUUGGAAUCGCUAGUAAUCGUAGAUCAGCAUGCUACGGUGAAUACGUUCCCGGGCCUUGUACACACCGCCCGUCACACCAUGAGAGUUGACUGUACCAGAAGUUGUUGAGGUAACCUUCGGGGGCCAGGCACCUAAGGUAUGGUUGAUAAUUGGGGUGAAGUCGUAACAAGGUA